RNAcentral lists this ribosomal RNA (497 nucleotides) under uncultured bacterium. RNAcentral describes it as "partial 16S ribosomal RNA". It matches the Rfam family "Bacterial small subunit ribosomal RNA", at positions 28 to 507 of the family's 1533-position model. The record is from RNAcentral.
GACGAACGCUGGCGGCGUGCCUAAUACAUGCAAGUAGAACGCUGAAGAGAGGAGCUUACUCUUCUUGGAUGAGUUGCGAACGGGUGAGUAACGCGUAGGUAACCUGCCUUGUAGCGGUGGAUAACUAUUGGAAACGAUAGCUAAUACCGCAUAACAAUGGAUGACACAUGUCAUUUAUUUGAAAGGGGCAAUUGCUCCACUACAAGAUGGACCUGCGUUGUAUUAGCUAGUAGGUGAGGUAAUGGCUCACCUAGGCGACGAUACAUAGCCGACCUGAGAGGGUGAUCGGCCACACUGGGACUGAGACACGGCCCAGACUCCUACGGGAGGCAGCAGUAGGGAAUCUUCGGCAAUGGGGGCAACCCCGACCGAGCAACGCCGCGUGAGUGAAGAAGGUUUUCGGAUCGUAAAGCUCUGUUGUAAGUCAAGAACGGGUGUGAGAGUGGAAAGUUCACACUGUGACGGUAGCUUACCAGAAAGGGACGGCUAACUACGUG